Molecule: non-coding RNA, 45 nt
Organism: Planctomycetes bacterium RBG_16_64_12
Lineage: Bacteria; Pseudomonadati; Planctomycetota
Source: Rfam
CCCAGGGCGUUGCCCUGGGCUAUCAUAUCUCAGCCCUUCGGGCUG